CCUUCCCCCUCCCCAUGUCCUCAAGUCCAUUCUCUAGUAGGUCUGUGUCUUUUUUUUUUUUUUUUUUUUUUGCGGUACGCGGGCCUCUCACUGUUGUGGCCUCUCCCGUUGUGGAGCACAAGCUCCGGACACGCAGGCUCAGCGGCCAUGGUUCACGGGCCCAGCCGCUCCGCGGCAUGUGGGAUCUUCCCGGACUGGGGCACGAACCCGUGUCCCCUGCAUAGGCAGGCGGUCUCAACCACUGCGCCACCAGGGAAGCCCCAGGGGACACAGGUUCGAUCCAUGGUUGGGGAACUAAGAUCCCACAUGCUGCAGGGUAACUAAGCCCACGCACCUCAACUAGAGAGAGAAAACCCACACGCCACAACUAGAGAGAAGCUCAAGCACCACAACGAAUGAUCCUGUGAGCCUCAACAAAGAUCCCACAUGCUGCAACUAAGACCCGACACAGCCAGAAAGAAGAAAGAAAGAAAGAAAAUAUUAAAAAAUAAAUAAGAUACUUAUUUUCA
Long non-coding RNA from Orcinus orca (killer whale), 509 nucleotides. RefSeq lists it as uncharacterized. Lineage: Eukaryota; Metazoa; Chordata; Mammalia; Artiodactyla; Delphinidae. The transcript is spliced from 2 exons. The record is from RefSeq and is a predicted model, not a curated record.